RNAcentral lists this long non-coding RNA (212 nucleotides) under Carica papaya (papaya). Its description in RNAcentral is "long non-coding RNA (CPAP_LNC011849)". Lineage: Eukaryota; Viridiplantae; Streptophyta; Magnoliopsida; Brassicales; Caricaceae. The record is from RNAcentral.
GUUAACAUAGAAAAGCACUAUAUGGAAGCUAGGGACAUUUUAUUGAUUGAGCCAAUGAUGAUUGGGUAUUUUGAAUGGUGGUAUGAGUAAUGGAAGGUGCAAAAAUGUUUUUGGAAGCUUUUAUGGUUGAAAAAGAAUUUGGAGAAUUGUGAGAGAAAGAAAAAAGGAGAAUGGAAGAAACAUAUCAAGAGGUGGUAGCUCUGAUACCAUAU